GCACUAAAAUAUUAUUUAAAUUGACAUCAUUAUUAUAAUAUUUAGGGUCAGACCCUACAGUAUUGAGAUUAAGAAAUCAAAUAUUCUAUAAAAUGUAAAUACACUGAACUCAUUUGGAUAUAUUUAAGUGAGACUCUACAAUAUUAUUUAUGACACAAAUCUAUCUAAAUCAAAAUUUUAAUAAUUUUCACACCAAACAUUUACUGGACUGAUUUAAAUAUUAAAAUCACUCCUUUCUAAUCCUCUGCUGUACGUUCAAACCUGAGGCCUUAAAUAGAAACACACAAGUAUCUGUUUGAAGGAACUUCUGCAGAGUCCUGGUUCCAGAACAUGAUGAUAGAAUUAUAGACAAACUUUAACAAAAGCUGCCUGAGAGUUUACAGGUUUUUAUGUUGGAUUUCUUCAGUAAUUUAAUGAGUUAUCAGCAAUAAUCAAGUGUUCAUUUGAUGAACUUCAUUUCCUAAAACAUCCAGAAUUGGAGCUCAUAUCUUAGGCAGCUGUAAAGUUUCUGCUCCUUCAAAGUUCACAACACAAUGAAUGAAUUCCUAAAACACUCUCAAUGCUGGAGAGCGUUUGUGAUGCUGAAGCAGUGACCAGUUUUUCUGUUUCUUCUCUGGAGAUGCACAAUGAGGGACGUCUGCAGAGACUGAGAAAGAGUCUCACCACAUCCUGACAUGAGGAAAAAGACUUUAUUGAAGACUACAAUGAGAAAAACUAUCAGACAGCAGACGGCUGCAUUCAAGGCUACAGGAGGAGCCCUACGAGGACGAGCCGGUCCACCUGAUGGUGGCCAGUCGCUGCGGUUCAAAGCCAACACCGACUACGUGGACUUCUACUGGACCACACGGAGGCCUUCAAACCAGACCAACGAGUUCACCGACUCCCCGACUCGUGGGUCUGAGGAUGCCGCCGAGCCUCGGUCCAGCCAGCCUCCUGUCUGUGGGUGUUUGAGUGCUGAGAAGUUUGUGGAUGCAUGUGAACGUUCUGUGUUGAAACAGCAGCUUUGGACUCACUAACGCCAGGAAAAACCAAGAGCUCCUUUAUUUGUGACUUCCACUAAAAAACUGAAGAAAAUAAGUUUGUCAGGGUUCUGACUGAUAACAGAUUAUUAAAUAAU
Molecule: long non-coding RNA, 1117 nt
Organism: Amphiprion ocellaris (clown anemonefish)
Lineage: Eukaryota; Metazoa; Chordata; Actinopteri; Pomacentridae
Source: Ensembl